This 28-nucleotide non-coding RNA is filed under the name Rattus norvegicus (Norway rat). The record is from RNAcentral. Lineage: Eukaryota; Metazoa; Chordata; Mammalia; Rodentia; Muridae.
UAGUACAUGAGUUUCCUGAGAAGAUUGC